This 581-nucleotide long non-coding RNA is filed under the name Scleropages formosus (Asian bonytongue). Its description in RNAcentral is "lncRNA (ENSSFOG00015031954.1)". Lineage: Eukaryota; Metazoa; Chordata; Actinopteri; Osteoglossiformes; Osteoglossidae. The record is from RNAcentral.
UACCGAUUUUCCAGGCAUCCAUUUACGUUUCAUGUUUCAGUUGAUUUCAGCUGAUUUCUCUCCGUGCCUUCAAUUUAGCAAGAGCUUAAAGUGCAUGGUGAAAGCGCUUAUGAUUGGGCACAAACACACACAGACCCAGAAAGUGACACAAGAGAACCAACUACAGUAAAUAAUACAAAUAAACAGCGAUAAAAAUGUUUGCGUUGAGAAAGAAAAUCUCGUCUUUUGAAAACCUUACAAAAAUGUCACCCGGCCCAAGGUCAAAUUGCUGCCACCUUCCUCUAAAGAAGCAUGCGGAAGAGAGACCACGGUGACCCUGGUGUGUGUGGUCACAGGAUUCUACCCUGACCACAUCGAAGUGUAUUGGCAGCACAACGGAGCCAACCUAACUGGAGGACACGGUACUGAUGACAGGGCACGAGUGGCGGAUGACAACAAGACCUACAGCAUCACCGGCAGACUUCGAGUCAGCACGAAAGCGCUGGUUCAAUACCAAGAACACAUUCACCUGCCUGACCGGCUUCUACGAUGGGAACGAAUACCUGACAGACACGGACAGCAUAACCGCAACAGUGCCCAGC